AGAGUUUGAUUAUGGCUCAGGAUGAACGCUAGCUACAGGCUUAACACAUGCAAGUCGAGGGGCAGCAUUGGAGUAGCAAUACUCAGAUGGCGACCGGCGCACGGGUGAGUAACACGUAUCCAACCUGCCGCUUACUCGGGGAUAGCCUUUCGAAAGAAAGAUUAAUACCCGAUGGUAUAAAGAGUUCGCAUGUUCUCUUUAUUAAAGAAUUUCGGUAAGCGAUGGGGAUGCGUUCCAUUAGAUUGUUGGCGGGGUAACGGCCCACCAAGUCUACGAUGGAUAGGGGUUCUGAGAGGAAGGUCCCCCACAUUGGAACUGAGACACGGUCCAAACUCCUACGGGAGGCAGCAGUGAGGAAUAUUGGUCAAUGGACGAGAGUCUGAACCAGCCAAAGUAGCGUGAAGGAUGACUGCCCUAUGGGUUGUAAACUUCUUUUAUAAGGGAAUAAAGUGAGGGACGUGUCCCUUUUUGUAUGUACCUUAUGAAUAAGGAUCGGCUAACUCCGUGCCAGCCGCGGC
This 518-nucleotide ribosomal RNA is filed under the name uncultured bacterium. RNAcentral's name for it is "bacterial SSU rRNA". It matches the Rfam family "Bacterial small subunit ribosomal RNA", at positions 8 to 518 of the family's 1533-position model. The record is from RNAcentral.